AUUGAACGCUGGCGGCAGGCCUAACACAUGCAAGUCGAGCGGCAGCGGGAAAGUAGCUUGCUACUUUUGCCGGCGAGCGGCGGACGGGUGAGUAAUGCCUGGGGAUCUGCCCAGUCGAGGGGGAUAACUACUGGAAACGGUAGCUAAUACCGCAUACGCCCUACGGGGGAAAGCAGGGGACCUUCGGGCCUUGCGCGAUUGGAUGAACCCAGGUGGGAUUAGCUAGUUGGUGAGGUAAUGGCUCACCAAGGCGACGAUCCCUAGCUGGUCUGGGAUGAUGAUCAGCCACACUGGAACUGAGAUACGGUCCAGACUCCUACGGGAGGCAGCAGUGGGGAAUAUUGCACAAUGGGGGAAACCCUGAUGCAGCCAUGCCGCGUGUGUGAAGAAGGCCUUCGGGUUGUAAAGCACUUUCAGCGAGGAGGAAAGGUUGGUAGCUAAUAACUGCCAGCUGUGACGUUACUCGCAGAAGAAGCACCGGCUAACUCCGUGCCAGCCGCCGCAGUAA
This 508-nucleotide ribosomal RNA is filed under the name uncultured bacterium. RNAcentral's name for it is "partial 16S ribosomal RNA". It matches the Rfam family "Bacterial small subunit ribosomal RNA", at positions 30 to 523 of the family's 1533-position model. The record is from RNAcentral.